Monomorium pharaonis (pharaoh ant) is the source of this 2397-nucleotide long non-coding RNA. RefSeq lists it as uncharacterized. The record is from RefSeq and is a predicted model, not a curated record. The transcript is spliced from 5 exons. Lineage: Eukaryota; Metazoa; Arthropoda; Insecta; Hymenoptera; Formicidae.
AUUAUACAUAUACUUUAAACUUAUGUAUAAUACAAGUAACCAAUAGGAAAUAAUAUAGAUAAAAGAACUUCAGAUAAAUUAUAAAAAUAUAGCUGCCUAAUACUUUUGGCCAAGCCUGUAUACAUACAUAUAUUUUUAUAUAAUUAGGGAUCGUAAGGAAAUAAAAUUAUUAUAAUUGUCAAUACAUUUUUAAUAAGAGUUUAGGCAUCAUUUCUGUUAUUUCAAAUUUACCGUUAUCGCGCGGUAGCUCAAUACAAUAAAGUACUUAAUCUUUCAAUACAAUGUAUAUCGGCGAGAGAACAAUUAAACUCUUAUUAAAAAUGUAUUGACAAUUAAUAAUAAUUUUAUUUCCUUACGAUCUCUAAUAUAUUAGAAAUAUAUGUAUGUAUACAGGAUUGGCCAAAAGUAUUAGACAAUGAUAUAAUUUAAUUUCUCAAUAAUUUCUACUGCCGCAAACUUUGUUCUUACGUUUUUUUCUAUAGAAACAUAUUAAUGCAAGUUUUAAUUGGCAUUUAAAUGGCAAUUAAGAUUAUAAAGUAACGGACAUACUGUUUGAUUUCUGCUGCCGAUCUACCUACAGGUUAUGUCAACAGGCUCUGCUCGAUUUCUGCUGCCAAUCUGCUGUCAGUUAUAUCAGCAGGUUUUGCUCGAUUUCUGCUGCCAAUCUGUUGUCAGAUUAUGUUAGCAAGCUCUGCUUGAUUUCUGACAGCAGUUUGCCGACAUCGUUGGAUAUUACAGACUUUGUAUAAAAUUUGUUGCCAUUCUGUCGUCAAAAAUUGAUAGCAUGCUCUGCUCAAAAUCUGUUCCUGCAGGCUUGGCUAUCUGGGAUAUUAUUUUGAUUUUUUUAUAGAUGUACCAGUACAUUCCCAAAUAUGUAAUGAGACUAAUCAACAAGAAGAAAGAAUUAGAAAGAAAGAAUUUCAUAACGAAAUGUGUUGUAAAACUUGCCAGAAUGACAUUAAGAAAAUAAUGCAAAUGUUAAUUACAAUCCAACAACUGUUGCUGAGUGAACAUCCUUCUUCCAUACAAGAGAAUACUACAAAUUUUAAUCUGCCAAUUGCAACACCUCGAGCGCUAGAAGAAUUUAAUAAAUUAAUAUAAUAAACACAAGAUCGUGUAUCUUUGCUCCAAUAUAAAAAAAUAAUUUCCACUUUGGGAGGGAAGAAUGCAGAACAACAUGUACGAAAUGCAUUAAAAUGCACUUUGACUGACACUUUGGGUUAUCAAACGUCAUGGACAGGACAAAAAAAUACUAUCCAAACAAGAGGCAUGAAAUUUGUUGACAUUAUUAUAGAAAUAAUCAUCAGUGGAAACAAUACUUCUUCUUCGCAUUUGGUUCAAAAUGUCAUCAAAAGCUGGCUACAGCAUGCUGGUGAUCGAAUAACUCAAGAAAGAAAACGUCAUGAAUCACGAAGAAAUAUGUAACCGUUCGCGCCAUAUCACAGAAGAAUAGUAUUAUAAGUCGCGCAUAAUAAUAAUAUGCGAAUAAUACUAAAUUAUCUUCGAGUAUAAAUUGACAACUAUAAAAUGCUUUUCUCUCUUUAGUUUCUCAUUCAAUAUUAUCUACAUAAUAUAAAUUACUCAGUUCAACUUUGGGAGGAAAAAACUGCAGAAUGUGUACGAAGGGGAAAAAAAACAGAAGUAAUAACGGAAUAGAUAUUUUUUUAUUAUAUUAUAUUUGAUAUUAAAAAUUUACAAAUAGUAUUAUAUUAUUAUUUGUUUAUAAUUUAAUAGCGUUAUUAAUUUAUUAAAAAAUAAUAACGCUACUAGAUAGCAUUUUUUAGCCUGUUCAUGACAUUUGAUAAGCCAAAGUAUCAGUUGAAGUGCAUUUUAAUGCAUUUCGUACACAUUCUGCAUUUUUUCCUCCCAAAGUUAAACUGGGCAGCAAUCAUGUAACUUUUUCCUUAAGGCGGAAACGUGAAAAGUGAAAAGUUUCAUGUAACUAUCUCUUUCUAUUGGUGUUGAAUAGAAAGAAAUGGUAACUUGAAACUUUUCAUUUUUCACAUUUUUGUCCUAGGGGAAAAAUUACAUGAUUGAUACCCUGAUUAAUAUAAUAAUUUAGAUUAUGCAGAUAAUUUUAAAUAAAAAACUAAAGAGGAGGGGGGAAGCAUUUUAUAGUCGUCAAUUUAUACUCUAAGCUAAAUGAUUUAGUAUUAUUUAUUUAGUGUUACUUUUUUGUUUAUUUUCAAUCUUUUAUAAACUUUUCAUUUUUAAGAAUACAUAGACUUGCGACCAAAUAUACAUAUGAGAAACACGAGAUGAGAAAAAAUCAUUCAAAUGUAAUAAGAAUAUAGUUUGUUAUAUAUAAUUAUAUAGUUUAUUAUAUAUAAUAAUUUUUAUAUAAACAUGUACGCGUUAUUUUAUAAUUAAAAAAAAUAAAGUUUAUAUAUAUAAUAA